GCCACCGUAGCUCAGUCCGGGAGAGCAGCUCCCUUGUAAGGAGCGGGUCGAGGGUUCGAAUCCCUCCGGUGGCU
RNAcentral lists this transfer RNA (74 nucleotides) under Thermoplasmatales archaeon SW_10_69_26. RNAcentral describes it as "tRNA-Thr". It matches the Rfam family "tRNA". From Rfam's summary of the family: Transfer RNA (tRNA) molecules are approximately 80 nucleotides in length. Their secondary structure includes four short double-helical elements and three loops (D, anti-codon, and T loops). The record is from RNAcentral. Lineage: Archaea; Methanobacteriati; Thermoplasmatota; Thermoplasmata; Thermoplasmatales.